Molecule: long non-coding RNA, 588 nt
Filed under: Anser brachyrhynchus (Pink-footed goose)
Lineage: Eukaryota; Metazoa; Chordata; Aves; Anseriformes; Anatidae
Description: lncRNA (ENSABRG00000016406.1)
Source: RNAcentral
GGCCCACAGACUGGUAUUUUGCCAUAACAUCCCACUCCACGAGAGCUCUCAGACUGGAUGCAUAGGUCCAAAUUGAGAGUGUGUGAAAGCCUGAAGACGGAUCGGUAAAGAAGAUAAUGUGGGCUCAGGUUCUCUCCAACAAAGAGGAAAUUUGAAAAUGGUUUUCCUUGAUGUCAGGCUACUGAGUGGAAGGUGAGAACUGAGUUAUUUCCCUGGGGACGAAGACAGUGAAGGAAUGCAAGGCUCAUCAUUUCUCUUCUUUCCAGAGAGACCACAUGAGAAUGAGAUGAGCAGAUGACCAUCCCUACACAUAGGGGUGAUCUAAAAACCACCAUUACCUCUAUCACAGAAUUACAGAGUCACAGAGUCACAGAGUCACAGAGUCACAGAAUCAAAGAAUGGUUGAGAUUGGAAGAGAACUCUGGAGGUCAACACCCCUUUUUAGGCAAGACCACCUACAGCAGGUGCUCAGGACCAUGUCCAGAAGGCUCUUGAAGAUCUCCAAGGAGACUUCACAACCUCUCUGGGCAACCUGUGCCAGUGCUUCGUCACCCACAUAAUAAAGAAGUGCUUCCUGAUGUUGAGACA